UACGUAGGGGGCUAGCGUUGUCCGGAAUCAUUGGGCGUAAAGCGCGCGUAGGCGGCCCGGUAAGUCCGCUGUGAAAGUCAAAGGCUCAACCUUUGAAUGUCAGCGGAUACUGCCGGGCUAGAGUCCGGAAGAGGCGAGUGGAACUCCUGGUGUAGCGGUGGAAUGCGCAGAUAUCAGGAGGAACACCGAUUGCGAAGGCAGCUCGCUGGGACGUAACUGACGCUGAGACGCGAAAGCGUGGGGAGCAAACAGG
RNAcentral lists this ribosomal RNA (253 nucleotides) under uncultured bacterium. Its description in RNAcentral is "partial 16S ribosomal RNA". It matches the Rfam family "Bacterial small subunit ribosomal RNA", at positions 524 to 776 of the family's 1533-position model. The record is from RNAcentral.